CUUUGGUCCUUAAAGACCUUCUGUUUUCCGUGAUUGGCCCGGGCCGGGGCAGGCCUAGACUUAAAGGGACUGCGCCCUCCAGGGGCAGGCGGGAGGGAAGUGACCUGUGGAGUUUGUAGCGGAGUUGGACCACUAAAAAAUUCCAGGGUUCUUUUUGGCGCUGGAAGGAAUUUAGAAGGCUCCUGGCCUGGUCCUGGUCAUCUGCUAUUUUCAGAAGCCCAGAGAGAUUGCGCCACUUGUUCGACUCCACACAGCGCUCCUCCUGUUCUUCCAGAGUUGAAGAAAGGCAGGAGGACUGCAGAGGUGCUGAGCCAAUCCCUCCCCAGGCCUGCUCCGCUUGGGGCGCAGGGGCCUGUGAGUCUAGGGCUGAGCCAGGGCCUGUGUGCAGAUGGAGCUUCUCAUUUACUCCAGCUACACGGCCACCCGUUCUGUUCUGGAAGCCUGCUCCUGCCCCUAUGUCUUGAGCCCACAACUG
This is a long non-coding RNA of Acinonyx jubatus (cheetah), 475 nucleotides long. RefSeq lists it as uncharacterized. NCBI's taxonomy places the organism in Eukaryota, Metazoa, Chordata, Mammalia, Carnivora, Felidae. The transcript is spliced from 3 exons. The record is from RefSeq and is a predicted model, not a curated record.